This 747-nucleotide ribosomal RNA is filed under the name uncultured bacterium. RNAcentral describes it as "bacterial SSU rRNA". It matches the Rfam family "Bacterial small subunit ribosomal RNA", at positions 353 to 1109 of the family's 1533-position model. The record is from RNAcentral.
AGUAAAGAAUCUUCCGCAAUGGACGAAAGUCUGACGGAGCGACACCGCGUGGUGGAUGAAGCUUUUCGGAGUGUAAACACCUUUUAUGGGGGAAGAAAAUCUGACGGUACCCCAUGAAUAAGGACCGGCUAAUUACGUGCCAGCAGCCGCGGUAAUACGUAAGGUCCAAGCGUUAACCGGAAUUAUUGGGCGUAAAGCGUCCGCAGGCGGUUUGCCAAGUUGAUUAUUAAAUACCGACGCUCAACGUCGGUGCUGUAGUCAAAACUGGUAAACUAGAGAUAUGGAGAGGUGCGUGGAAUUGUGCAAGUAGGGGUAAAAUCCGUAGAUAUGCAUAGGAACACCAAAAGCGAAGGCAGCGCACUGGCCAUUAUCUGACGCUCAGGGACGAAAGCGUGGGGAGCGAAAGGGAUUAGAUACCCCUGUAGUCCACGCCGUAAACGAUGCGUGCUCGAUGUUGGGACCCUCGACCUGGUCUCAGUGUCUAAGAUAACUCGAUAAGCACGCCGCCUGUGUAGUACGAUCGCAAGAUUAAAACACAAAGGAAUAGACGGGGACCCACACAAGCGGUGGAUUGCGGGGUUUAAUUCGAUAAUAAGCGAGUAACCUUACCCAGGCUUGACAUCCUAAUCGUAUUUUCUAGAGAUAGAAAAGUCAGUUCGGCUGGAUUAGUGACAGGCGCUGCAUGGUUGUCGUCAGCUCGUGCCUUGAGGUGUACGGUUAAGUCCGCGAACGAGCGCAACCCUCGUC